Polyodon spathula (Mississippi paddlefish) is the source of this 134-nucleotide small nucleolar RNA. The record is from RefSeq and is a predicted model, not a curated record. NCBI's taxonomy places the organism in Eukaryota, Metazoa, Chordata, Actinopteri, Acipenseriformes, Polyodontidae.
AACGAGGUCUAUCCCGAUGGACUUUCUCCCAUAAGGCCCUGUCGUUGGAAAUGCCUCGCAUAUUAAACCUGCGGUUUCGCUUUGCCCACUAGACUACUGCUGUUGGACUUGUGGGAUAAAACUGCAGAACAGGC